Molecule: ribosomal RNA, 465 nt
Filed under: Vreelandella stevensii
Lineage: Bacteria; Pseudomonadati; Pseudomonadota; Gammaproteobacteria; Oceanospirillales; Halomonadaceae
Description: partial 16S ribosomal RNA
Rfam family: Bacterial small subunit ribosomal RNA
Source: RNAcentral
CCUACGGGUGGCUGCAGUGGGGAAUAUUGGACAAUGGGCGAAAGCCUGAUCCAGCCAUGCCGCGUGUGUGAAGAAGGCCUUCGGGUUGUAAAGCACUUUCAGUGGGGAAGAAAGCCUUGGGGCUAAUACCCUCGAGGAAGGACAUCACCCACAGAAGAAGCACCGGCUAACUCCGUGCCAGCAGCCGCGGUAAUACGGAGGGUGCGAGCGUUAAUCGGAAUUACUGGGCGUAAAGCGCGCGUAGGCGGUCUGAUAAGCCAGUUGUGAAAGCCCCGGGCUCAACCUGGGAACGGCAUCCGGAACUGUCAGGCUAGAGUGCAGGAGAGGAAGGUAGAAUUCCCGGUGUAGCGGUGAAAUGCGUAGAGAUCGGGAGGAAUACCAGUGGCGAAGGCGGCCUUCUGGACUGACACUGACGCUGAGGUGCGAAAGCGUGGGUAGCAAACAGGAUUAGAUACCCCUGUAGUC